This 575-nucleotide ribosomal RNA is filed under the name uncultured bacterium. Its description in RNAcentral is "bacterial SSU rRNA". It matches the Rfam family "Bacterial small subunit ribosomal RNA", at positions 656 to 1223 of the family's 1533-position model. The record is from RNAcentral.
GGAAAGUGGAAUUUUCCGGGGUAGCGGUGAAAUGGGUAGAUAUCGGAAGGAACACCAGUGGGAAGGCGACUUCCUUGGGCCCAAUACUGACGCUCCAGGUGCGAAAGCGUGGGGAGCAAACAGGAUUAGAUACCCCUGGUAGUCCACGCCGUAAACGAUGAGAACUAGAUGUCGGGAGGGUUUAGCCUUUUCGGUGUCGCAGCUAACGCGUUAAGUUCUCCCGCCUGGGGAGUACGCCGGCAACGGUAAAACUCAAAGGAAUUGACGGGGACCCGCACAAGCGGUGGAGCAUGUGGUUUAAUUCGAUGCAACGCGAAGAACCUUACCAGCCCUUGACAUCCCUCGGAACUUUGCAGAGAUGCAUUGGUGCCUUCGGGAAUCGAGUGACAGGUGCUGCAUGGCUGUCUUCAGCUCGUGUCGUGAGAUGUUGGGUUAAGUCCCGCAACGAGCGCAACCCUUGUCCCUAGUUGCCAGCGAUUCGGUCGGGAACUCUAGGGAGACUGCCGGUGACAAACCGGAGGAAGGUGGGGACGACGUCAAGUCAUCAUGGCCCUUAUGGGCUGGGCUACACACGU